GUCGAGGGGUAACAGGGAGCUUGCUCCGCUGACGACCGGCGCACGGGUGCGCACCGCGUAUGGAACCUGCCUUUUACAGGGGAAUAGCCCAGGGAAACUUGGAUUAAUGCCCCGUGGCACCACGGCCCGGCAUCGGGAUGUGGUUAAAGCCUUCGGGCGGUAGAAGAUGGCCAUGCGUCCCAUUAGCUGGAUGGUAAGGUAACGGCUUACCAUGGCUACGAUGGGUAGGGGCCCUGAGAGGGGGAUCCCCCACACUGGUACUGAGACACGGACCAGACUCCUACGGGAGGCAGCAGUGAGGAAUAUUGGACAAUGGGCGAGGGCCUGAUCCAGCCAUGCCGCGUGCAGGAAGAAUGCCCUAUGGGUAGUAAACUGCUUUUAUACGGGAAGAAAAAGGGGCACGUGUGCCCCACUGACGGUACCGUAAGAAUAAGGACCGGCUAACUCCGUGCCAGCAGCCGCGGUAAUACGGAGGGUCCGAGCGUUAUCCGGAAUUAUUGGGUUUAAAGGGUCCGUAGGCGGGCCGGUAAGUCAGGGGUGAAAGUCUGUAGCUCAACUAUAGAAUUGCCUUUGAUACUGCCGGUCUUGAGUUAUGGUGAAGUUGCCGGAAUAUGUGGUGUAGCGGUGAAAUGCAUAGAUAUCACAUAGAACACCGAUUGCGAAGGCAGGUGACUAACCAUAUACUGACGCUGAUGGACGAAAGCGUGGGGAGCGAACAGGAUUAGAUACCCUGGUAGUCCACGCCGUAAACGAUGGAUACUAGCUGUCCGGGUCCUUGAGGCCUGGGCGGCCAAGCGAAA
RNAcentral lists this ribosomal RNA (800 nucleotides) under Maribacter sp. Its description in RNAcentral is "bacterial SSU rRNA". It matches the Rfam family "Bacterial small subunit ribosomal RNA", at positions 61 to 856 of the family's 1533-position model. Lineage: Bacteria; Pseudomonadati; Bacteroidota; Flavobacteriia; Flavobacteriales; Flavobacteriaceae. The record is from RNAcentral.